GAGUUUGAUCCUGGCUCAGGAUGAACGCCGGCGGUGUGCCUAAUACAUGCAAGUCGUACGCACUGGCCCAACUGAUUGAUGGUGCUUGCACCUGAUCGACGAUGGAUCACCAGUGAGUGGCGGACGGGUGAGUAACACGUAGGUAACCUGCCCUGUACAGGGGAUAACAAUCAGAAAUGACUGCUAAUACCGCAUAAGACCACAGCACCGCAUGGUGCAGGGGUAAAAACUCCGGUGGUACAGGAUGGACCCGCGUCUGAUUAGCUGGUUGGUGAGGUAACGGCUCACCAAGGCGACGAUCAGUAGCCGGCUUGAGAGAGUGAACGGCCACAUUGGGACUGAGACACGGCCCAAACUCCUACGGGAGGCAGCAGUGGGGAAUAUUGCACAAUGGGGAAACCCUGAUGCAGCAACGCCGCGUGAGUGAAGAGUAUUCGGUAUGUAAAGCUCUAUCAGCAGGGAAGAAAGUGACGGUACCUGACUAAGAAGCCCGGCUAA
Molecule: ribosomal RNA, 498 nt
Filed under: uncultured microorganism
Description: bacterial SSU rRNA
Rfam family: Bacterial small subunit ribosomal RNA
Source: RNAcentral